RNAcentral lists this ribosomal RNA (207 nucleotides) under uncultured Acidobacteriota bacterium. RNAcentral describes it as "uncultured Acidobacteria bacterium partial 16S ribosomal RNA". It matches the Rfam family "Bacterial small subunit ribosomal RNA", at positions 568 to 775 of the family's 1533-position model. Lineage: Bacteria; Pseudomonadati; Acidobacteriota. The record is from RNAcentral.
UGCGUAGGCGGUGCGGUAAGUCUUUGUGAAAUCUCCGGGCUCAACUCGGAGUCUGCAGGAGAAACUGCCGUGCUUGAGUAUGGGAGAGGUGAGUGGAAUUCCUGGUGUAGCGGUGAAAUGCGUAGAUAUCAGGAGGAACACCUGUGGCGAAAGCGGCUCACUGGACCAUAACUGACGCUGAGGCACGAAAGCUAGGGGAGCAAACAG